CAGCAUCUGCAGUACAGGUCCCCCACCGAUUUUCCGGCAACUGGUGGCCAGGCACCUCCUUUAAUUUGGACAAAAUGACAAGAGCGCACUUGAAGUUCCCCGCCGGAAGUCCCCCCCGAAAAUGU
Molecule: long non-coding RNA, 125 nt
Organism: Amblyraja radiata (thorny skate)
Lineage: Eukaryota; Metazoa; Chordata; Chondrichthyes; Rajiformes; Rajidae
Exons: 3
Source: RefSeq, a predicted model, not a curated record